Long non-coding RNA from Cyprinus carpio (common carp), 967 nucleotides. The record is from Ensembl. NCBI's taxonomy places the organism in Eukaryota, Metazoa, Chordata, Actinopteri, Cypriniformes, Cyprinidae.
GACUGAAAGAGCAAAAAUGUUGGGCCCGGUAUAAACAUAUAGGCCUGGUUUUACAGACAGGGCUUAGACUAAGCCAGGAUUAGGCCAUAGUUCAAUUAAGACAUCUGAGUAAUUUUUAUUAACAUGCCUUAGAAAAAAACAUUACUGGUGUGCAUCUUGAGACAAAGGCACUGAUAUAUUAUAAGAUCAGUCAGUGCAAGUUUCUUUCAGUUAAAACAGCUCAGAUUUACACUUUAGUCUGGGACUAGGCUUAAGCCUUGUCUGUGAAACCAGGGGAUAGGCUUCACGGACAUUUCUUAGCUUGAGCCAGGACUAUGUGUCACAGGUCGGGGGGGCCAAGCCGGACUGCACCCGCCCCUGAAACCCAGGAUCACCUCAGAGAGCGUACCAGAAGAACCAGACGGACGAAAAACGAAGCCAGACCUCGGACGCCGGGGAGGCGUGGAGUCGUCGGCAGUUCGUGCCUGUACGGGGCCGGCAAGAGCCAGGAUAGUCUGUCACCCGUCCCGGAAUGAGGGGGGGAUAUCCGGGGACAUCACAUGCAGCGUCCAGCCCAGAGGAUCCUGCAAUCUCUUUUCAUAGGGACAUCACAUGCAGCAUUCGUCCCAGGGGAUCCUACGAUCUGCACAGCAGAGUAAGCAAUCGACAGCAGGGACAUCACAUGCGGCGUUCAGCCCAGAGGAUCCUGCGAUCUGCACAGCAGAGGACAUCACAUGCGGCGUUCAGCCCAGAGGAUCCUGCGAUCUGCACAGCAGAGGACAUCACAUGCGGCGUUCAGCCCAGAGGAUCCUGCGAUCUGCGCAGCGGAGUAAGUAAUCAACAGGACAUCACAUGCGGCGUUCAGCCCAGAGGAUCCUGCGAUCUGCGCAGCGGAGUAAGUAAUCAACAGUAAGUAUGCGUUCUUGAAUAAGUAAUGGGGCUUACGGCUGGGAGAUGCUUCGGUUGUAACCAGGAAAAGAAAUGAUCC